This 474-nucleotide ribosomal RNA is filed under the name uncultured organism. Its description in RNAcentral is "partial 16S ribosomal RNA". It matches the Rfam family "Bacterial small subunit ribosomal RNA", at positions 332 to 797 of the family's 1533-position model. The record is from RNAcentral.
UACACUCCUACGGGAGGCAGCAGUGGGGAAUUUUGGACAAUGGGCGAAAGCCUGAUCCAGCAAUGCCGCGUGUGUGAAGAAGGCCUUCGGGUUGUAAAGCACUUUUGUCCGGAAAGAAAUCCUUGGCUCUAAUACAGUCGGGGGAUGACGGUACCGGAAGAAUAAGCACCGGCUAACUACGUGCCAGCAGCCGCGGUAAUACGUAGGGUGCGAGCGUUAAUCGGAAUUACUGGGCGUAAAGCGUGCGCAGGCGGUUUGCUAAGACCGAUGUGAAAUCCCCGGGCUCAACCUGGGAACUGCAUUGGUGACUGGCAGGCUAGAGUAUGGCAGAGGGGGGUAGAAUUCCACGUGUAGCAGUGAAAUGCGUAGAGAUGUGGAGGAAUACCGAUGGCGAAGGCAGCCCCCUGGGCCAAUACUGACGCUCAUGCACGAAAGCGUGGGGAGCAAACAGGAUUAGAUACCCCAGUAGUCCCA